AGGAGUUCGUUCGUUCUCAUCCCCUCGCUCUGUCUCUCGCAAGCAGAGGCAACGACGGCGGCGGCGUCCCUGGUGGUGCUCGACGGCGGCGGCCCUGACCACAUAACUCAGAUGAGCUAGGUGUUGAAGAUGGCUGAACCAGAGAGAGGUGACCACGUCGUAGUAGACGGCUUCGAUUUUCCUCCUUUGUUUGUUCCCGAGCCCAGGUUACCAAGAUUUCUGUGAAGCACAAGUGCUCCUCUACCGGUAGGAUAAAAAGCAACAUGACAUCUCAAGGAUGGGUAGCACAGAGGACCGUACCCCUUAUACAGAGUGACCCUACAAUUGGAUGCAAAGAGCUGUUGGAGAAUUUGCAAGAUACAUAUGGCACUACAAUUGAGUAUCAUACGGUGUGGAAAGGAAAAGAUAUAGCACAAAAAGAGAUUUAUGGUAGCAUGAGGCAAAGUUUCAAUAUUUGUUUAACUUCAAAGCAGAAGUU
Triticum aestivum (bread wheat) is the source of this 478-nucleotide long non-coding RNA. RefSeq lists it as uncharacterized. The record is from RefSeq and is a predicted model, not a curated record. The transcript has 3 exons. NCBI's taxonomy places the organism in Eukaryota, Viridiplantae, Streptophyta, Magnoliopsida, Poales, Poaceae.